RNAcentral lists this small RNA (778 nucleotides) under Pan troglodytes (chimpanzee). RNAcentral's name for it is "retained intron". Lineage: Eukaryota; Metazoa; Chordata; Mammalia; Primates; Hominidae. The record is from RNAcentral.
CUCCGAUCCCUGGGGGAGAAGAGGCAGCUCUACUAUGCCAUGGAGCACCUGGGGACCAGCUUCAAGGAUCCUGACCCCUGGACCCCUGCAGCUCUCAUCCCUGAGGCACUUAGAGAAAAGCUCAGGUAGGAUAUGCCCCGUGGUGGGAGGGGCUUGGCCCGAGCUGGGAGGCUGGGUCUGGACUGUCCUGGGCACCCACUGAGCGCAUCUCUCACCCCUGAGAGAGGAUCAGGAGAAGAGGCCUUGGGACCAUGAGCCCGUGAAGCCAAAGCCCUUGACCUACUGGAAGGGUGAGUUCCUGGGAGGGAGAAGGCAGGAGCCUGGAGGGUCUGGGGGCUGCCAGCUACUGCUCUGCCUGCCCUUAGGGGAUGCUCAGCCCCCUCUGCUCUGUCUUUCCCCUGGCAGAUGUCCUUCUGCUGGAGGGUGUGACCUUGACCCAGGAUUCCAGGCAGCUGAAUGGGUCGGAGCGGGCGGUGUUGGAUGGGCUGCUCACCCCAGCCGAGUGUGGGGUGCUGCUGCAGCUGGCUAAGGAUGCAGCUGGGGCUGGAGCCAGGUCUGGCUAUCGUGGUCGCCGCUCCCCUCACACCCCCCAUGAACGCUUCGAGGGGCUCACAGUGCUUAAGGCUGCGCAGCUGGCCCGGGCUGGGACAGUGGGCAGUCAGGGUGCUAAGCUGCUUCUGGAGGUGAGCGAGCGGGUGCGGACCUUGACCCAGGCCUACUUCUCCCCGGAACGGCCCCUGCAUCUGUCCUUCACCCACCUGGUGUGCCGCAGCGCCAU